Molecule: long non-coding RNA, 1614 nt
Organism: Arvicanthis niloticus (Nile rat)
Lineage: Eukaryota; Metazoa; Chordata; Mammalia; Rodentia; Muridae
Source: RefSeq, a predicted model, not a curated record
AGUUGGCAGCGCCUUACCCAGGAGGGCGGCGGCGGAGUCCGCCGGGUGGCCAAGACGCAGUCCCCCGAGAAGCAAGACGCAGCGCAGCAGCCUGGGCCUGGAGCCCCAGACGCUGCGUCACAGCUUCUCCUGCUGGCGCUAGAGGCGAAGCAACUGCAAAAGUUUCCGCAGAACUUCACCGCGUGGCGAAACCCGGGCUGCUGCGUGGCCUGGCCUGCCGAGGGCGGGGAUGCGCGACUGACUCAGGUGGCCAGACUUGGGCCCCUAGCAUCCCCUCCAUCCUGCCUCUGCUGCCAGGUUUUAGGCGCUAAGCAUCAGCUAUUUCCUUUCCUGGGACCCCCUCCCCUAGUCUGGUGGGGAAGAGGAGGAGCCCAGAACUCCGCCACCCGCGCGGAGGUUGGGGGAGGGGAAGGCAGAGCUCCUGUUGCUUGUGAGCAAACAAUUCUUGAUCAUCUUGUUUCAGCAUGUGUGUGACUCCUGUGUCAGUGUCCCUGGCACAAAGAAUGUAACACUUGAGCUGAUGGGGGCCUCUGCAUCCAGAGACCUGGGACAAAAGCGGCCCACUAGGUGUCCCAGAAGACCUACAUCAUUCCCACCAGCUGGGCUGCUGGCCGGGUAGCAAAGAAAAAAACAGAAAUUUCAUGAAGACAAUCCAGUUAGUUAGUAUUAUGCGACAGGUCAGAUGGCAGCAGAGAACUGGACUCAGACUCUGGAUUUUGGAGGGCAGCCGACACCUACCUCUGAUUUCCCCAACAGUCUUGAAAGGGAUGCUUGGGCAGUUCAGCUGAGAACAGGAUUGGAGUCCAACAGCACAAAACAGACUCACCUUCUCCCAUCACAAGUGAUCAAAACACUGUAAAACUGUAAUAUAAGUUUUAUUGUUUCCUGGACUAGCCACUGCAGGCUUUUUUGGAAAUAACAAACAUGACUUUUCAUGACUCCAGCUGUAGGUAAUCUUUCCAUAUCUCCACAAUAAAGGCUCUGCUCCAGGGAGGCUCCACCUUGGCCCUUCUGAGCUCUGCUCACUGAGAUUUUUGGCUUAAUAUAGCUCACUAAUUGCAGGUCCCCAAAAGAAGCACCCGAAGGUCCCUGGAAAGGUUCCACUAGCCACAGCCCUGACAGUCAGCCAAGGGAACAAAGCCCCUUACCCUAAGGCUAACUUGAGCAGGGUUGCAGAUUGGCUUCUGGAAAUUGUUCACUGCUUCACUGGCCCUUUGGGGCCUCUCUUCUUGGUUUGAUCCUUGGGAUCCUAAGGUCCUGGAUACAGCUGGCUAUGCUAGGUAGGGCUGCCUUCUCUUGACACCUCCCUCCUUACAAGUCUUGUCAUCUUUGAGGGAUUUGAGAAUGCCAGCUAUGGGUGAGCUGCCCUUCCCUAUCUGAACAGCCUAACUUCAGGAUGCUUCUGGAACAGAAUUGGGUCCCUCCUCCACCAGCCAGAGUAGGCUUUGGUACUUUGGUACUACCCAGCAGGCAGAGUAAAAGCCACCACCCUGACAUCACACGGGUUCCACACAGGACCCACUGUGUAUUCACACACAUUAUCAGUCCGCUCCUGUCCCCUCACUAAACAUCAUCCUGUGCCAACUGCUGUGAAAUUAAAGAUAAGCUAACACA